Molecule: ribosomal RNA, 254 nt
Filed under: uncultured bacterium
Lineage: Bacteria
Description: partial 16S ribosomal RNA
Rfam family: Bacterial small subunit ribosomal RNA
Source: RNAcentral
UACGUAGGGACCGAGCGUUGUCCGGAUUCAUUGGGCGUAAAGAGCUCGUAGGCGGUCUGUCGCGUCGGCUGUGAAAUCCCGAGGCUCAACCUCGGGUCUGCAGUCGAUACGGGCAAACUGGAGUGUUGCAGGGGAGACUGGAAUUCCUGGUGUAGCGGUGAAAUGCGCAGAUAUCAGGAGGAACACCGGUGGCGAAGGCGGGUCUCUGGGCAACAACUGACGCUGGAGGAGCGAAAGCGUGGGGAGCGAACAGG